GGCAGAGGGGGAUUUGCCAGGGUAAAGAGGAGGCUGGGAGGAAGAGGCCUGCCGAGGGAGGCUUUGUCUUUUCAGCCAGAGUUUGACAAUUAGGCUUCAUCAUGUCACGAUGCGGUGCUACUGCUGACCCCAAAACACAACGCCGGAAGUGGUGCUCACUAGAGACUAUGUGUCAGAACUGUGACGCUGAAUCCGGAGCCCCAACCUCUCCUAGCCUCCUAGAGGAGGAUGACCCAGGACCCUUGUCCUCCCAACAGCAGGCCACCAGUUCAAGGGACAAGAAGCCCCUAAGCUCCCUCCACCUUUCACAUAGGGCCCAGGUGGCCUUGGAGUACCUGCCUUUCUUCUGCACCUAUGGGUGCCUCCUGGAAGAGGAGGGGUUGGUCCUGCAGCCCAAGACACCGCUCCAGGAGGACUCAGAACUGCUCAGUGGGUUCUUCCCUUACUACCGCUCUGAGGAGGAGAGUUUGCCCAGCCUGGCCCUUCCUGGCUGGUCACACAGGGGCUCCCAAGAUCUGCCCACUGAGAAGGAGGCACGGGCUGGCUGCUUCUGCAGGACAACAGUCAGGGACGAAUGCUCUGUCUCGGCAGAGUUCCCCCGUGACAGUGACCGGGAUGCCCCUCUCUCCAGGGACCAUGGUCUUUAUGCCUCAGGAUUUGUGCAUUACUACAGAACCCCUGAGGAGGGGUUACACACUAGCCCUGGGCCUCCUGCCUUUCCAUCUGGGAGCCAGGGGCCCUCAGGGGCUGCCCAGGGCUGGUGCAGUCACACCACGGGGAAGCCGGAGCUGACUGCAACAGAAACCACUGGAGAGCAGGCCCCCAGCACCCACUGACUGUCGAGGGAUGAAGCCUGACCCAAGCUCAGACAGAGGAAGCAGGAGCCACCUGAACAACUGAAGGGUGCAGACACCCAGAAGCUGGUUUUGUAAAUAAAUCGUGCACCUUGGCGCUGGUGCACUAAUUGGA
Molecule: long non-coding RNA, 969 nt
Organism: Homo sapiens (human)
Lineage: Eukaryota; Metazoa; Chordata; Mammalia; Primates; Hominidae
Source: Ensembl